UACGUAGGGCGCAAGCGUUGUCCGGAAUUAUUGGGCGUAAAGAGCUCGUAGGCGGCCAGUUGCGUCUGCUGUGAAAUCCCGGGGCUCAACCCCCAGCCUGCAGUGGGUACGGGCAGACUAGAGUGCGGUAGGGGAGAUUGGAAUUCCUGGUGUAGCGGUGAAAUGCGCAGAUAUCAGGAAGAACACCCGUGGCGAAGGCGGCUCUCUGGGACGUGACUGACGCUGAGACGCGAAAGCGUGGGGAGCGAACAGG
This 253-nucleotide ribosomal RNA is filed under the name uncultured bacterium. Its description in RNAcentral is "partial 16S ribosomal RNA". It matches the Rfam family "Bacterial small subunit ribosomal RNA", at positions 524 to 776 of the family's 1533-position model. The record is from RNAcentral.